AGCGAACGCUGGCGGCAGGCUUAACACAUGCAAGUCGAACGGGCACUUCGGUGCUAGUGGCCGACGGGUGAGUAACACGUGGGAACGUACCUUUCGGUUCGGAAUAAUCCAGGGAAACUUGGACUAAUACCGGAUACGCCCUUCGGGGGAAAGAUUCAUCGCCGAUAGAUCGGCCCGCGUCUGAUUAGCUAGUUGGUGAGGUAAUGGCUCACCAAGGCGACGAUCAGUAGCUGGUCUGAGAGGAUGAUCAGCCACAUUGGGACUGAGACACGGCCCAAACUCCUACGGGAGGAAGCAGUGGGGAAUAUUGGACAAUGGGCGCAAGCCUGAUCCAGCCAUGCCGCGUGAGUGAUGAAGGCCUUAGGGUUGUAAAGCUCUUUUGUCCGGGAAGAUAAUGACUGUACCGGAAGAAUAAGCCCCGGCUAACUUCGUG
RNAcentral lists this ribosomal RNA (433 nucleotides) under uncultured bacterium. Its description in RNAcentral is "partial 16S ribosomal RNA". It matches the Rfam family "Bacterial small subunit ribosomal RNA", at positions 29 to 507 of the family's 1533-position model. The record is from RNAcentral.